UUACAUUAGGUCAACAUUGGUGGUUUGAAUUCAACUAGUCUUAUUGGUUUGAGAAUUAGUCCAUUAGUCUGUUUGAUUGGGAUUCAAGGUCACAUAUCACAAUUCAUAUUUCAUUUCAAGGAUGGCAUUCAAGUUUUUAAAUUCAAGGAUUUUCAAAUCUUGGAGGGAAAUUCAUUUUUCUUAAGAAUCAAACCAUUAUAUCUUCAACAUAUAAAUC
Molecule: long non-coding RNA, 217 nt
Filed under: Lathyrus oleraceus (garden pea)
Lineage: Eukaryota; Viridiplantae; Streptophyta; Magnoliopsida; Fabales; Fabaceae
Description: Pisum sativum (pea) long non-coding RNA (PSAT_LNC029078)
Source: RNAcentral